UACGUAGGGGGCAAGCGUUGUCCGGAUUUACUGGGCGUAAAGAGCGUGUAGGCGGCCAGGCAGGUCUGUUGUGAAAACUGGAGGCUCAACUUCCAGACGUCGACAGAAACCGCUUGGCUAGAGUCCGGAAGAGGAGAGUGGAAUUCCUGGUGUAGCGGUGAAAUGCGCAGAUAUCAGGAAGAACACCGAUGGCGAAGGCAGCCCUCUGGGACGGUACUGACGCUGAGACGCGAAAGCGUGGGGAGCGAACAGG
This 253-nucleotide ribosomal RNA is filed under the name uncultured bacterium. Its description in RNAcentral is "partial 16S ribosomal RNA". It matches the Rfam family "Bacterial small subunit ribosomal RNA", at positions 524 to 776 of the family's 1533-position model. The record is from RNAcentral.